CACAUUUUUAUAUGGGGACACUGUGAGUAAAAAUGACAGUUUUUGCUUCGUAAAUAUGUGUAGGACUCGUUACAAGGCAAAUACUUGCUAAUUAGUAUUUGUGACCUGUUUUGACCCGUACAAGUAAUUGAAAUUUAGGUUUGAUAUUUUAUUUGCCUGCUCUGUGUGUUAAGGUGUAUGAAAUUGUUAGUCGGGAUCGUUGUACAAAUAUGAUUUAUAAAUGAUGUUUAUUUACUGUUGUGGUUUUGAACUCUAUUUUGAUGAGCUUUCUCCACUGUUUAAGAUUAUGUUGAUUCACUUUCACAAACGCAUACAAUAAUCAUUUACAUCUUUUUGUUUUGUUUUUAAAGUUAGGUAUGAGAGUAAACACGACAUCGCCGGAUGAUUUGCCAGCACAAGCCAAUAUCAUCACAUCCAAUUUCCAAACUCCUUGCAACAUCAUGGUCAUCACGGGGGACAUCGAUUUCAAAAGACCGAUCCGG
This is a long non-coding RNA of Arabidopsis thaliana (thale cress), 482 nucleotides long. RefSeq annotates it as other RNA. The transcript has a single exon. NCBI's taxonomy places the organism in Eukaryota, Viridiplantae, Streptophyta, Magnoliopsida, Brassicales, Brassicaceae. The record is from RefSeq.